This 804-nucleotide ribosomal RNA is filed under the name uncultured organism. Its description in RNAcentral is "bacterial SSU rRNA". It matches the Rfam family "Bacterial small subunit ribosomal RNA", at positions 690 to 1489 of the family's 1533-position model. The record is from RNAcentral.
GUAGAUAUCUGGAAGAACACCAGUUGCGAAGCCGGUCUCCUGGACCAAUACUGACGCUGAUGCUCGAAAGCUGUGUGACCGAACAGGAUUAGAUACCCUGGUAGUCCCAGCCGUAAACGAUGGACACUAGUUGCCGGAGGAGUCAAUCCCUUCGGUGACGAAGCUAACGCAUUAAGUGUCCCGCCUGGGGAGUACGCUCGCAAGGGUGAAACUCAAAGGAAUUGACGGGGGCCCGCACAAGCGGUGGAGCAUGUGCUUUAAUUCGAUGCAACGCGAAGAACCUUACCUGGGUUUGACAUGGGGGUGAAAGUUUCCAGAGAUGGAAGCCUUUCCUUCGGGAACACCCCACACAGGUGCUGCAUGGUUGUCGUCAGCUCGUGUCGUGAGAUGUUGGGUUAAGUCCCGCAACGAGCGCAACCCCUGCCCUUAGUUGCCAUCAGGUAAAGCUGGGAACUCUAAGGGGACAGCUUGGUAUAACCAGGAGGAAGGUGGGGAUGACGUCAAAUCAUCAUGGCUCUUACGCCCAGGGCUAGACACGUGCUACAAUGGCAGGUACAGUGGGAUGCCAGCCUGCGAAGGUGAGCUAAUCCCUUAAAACCUGUCUCAGUCCGGAUUGGAGUCUGCAACUCGACUCCAUGAAGUUGGAAUCGCUAGUAAUCGCGGAUCAGCACGCCGCGGUGAAUACGUUCCCGGGCCUGUACACACCGCCCGUCAAGCCAUGAAAGGCGGUAGUACCCGAAGUCGCGUACCCAACCGUGAGGAGGGAAGCGCCGAAGGUAAGACUGCUACUUGGGGCUAAGUCGU